RNAcentral lists this ribosomal RNA (430 nucleotides) under uncultured Alphaproteobacteria bacterium. RNAcentral's name for it is "bacterial SSU rRNA". It matches the Rfam family "Bacterial small subunit ribosomal RNA", at positions 29 to 505 of the family's 1533-position model. The record is from RNAcentral. Lineage: Bacteria; Pseudomonadati; Pseudomonadota; Alphaproteobacteria.
AACGAACGCUGGCGGCAGGCCUAACACAUGCAAGUCGAGCGAUCCCUUGUGGAUAGCGGCGCACGGGUGAGUAACACGUGGGAAUCUGCCUUGUAGUACGGAAUAGCCCUUGGAAACGAGGAUUAAUGCCGUAUAUUCCCUUCGGGGGAAAGAUUUAUCGCUACAAGAUGAGCCCGCGCUGGAUUAGCUAGUUGGUGAGGUAAUGGCUCACCAAGGCGACGAUCUAUAGCUGGUCUGAGAGGACGAUCAGCCACACUGGGACUGAGACACGGCCCAGACUCCUACGGGAGGCAGCAGUGAGGAAUAUUGGACAAUGGAGGAAACUCUGAUCCAGCCAUGCCGCGUGAGUGAAGAAGGCCUUAGGGUUGUAAAGCUCUUUCAGUAGUGAAGAUGAUGACGGUAACUACAGAAGAAGCCCCGGCUAACUUCG